Molecule: ribosomal RNA, 253 nt
Filed under: uncultured bacterium
Lineage: Bacteria
Description: partial 16S ribosomal RNA
Rfam family: Bacterial small subunit ribosomal RNA
Source: RNAcentral
UACGUAGGUGGCAAGCGUUGUCCGGAAUUAUUGGGCGUAAAGCGCGCGCAGGCGGUCCUUUAAGUCUGAUGUGAAAGCCCACGGCUCAACCGUGGAGGGUCAUUGGAAACUGGGGGACUUGAGUGCAGAAGAGGAGAGUGGAGUUCCACGUGUAGCGGUGAAAUGCGUAGAGAUGUGGAGGAACACCAGUGGCGAAGGCGACUCUCUGGUCUGUAACUGACGCUGAGGCGCGAAAGCGUGGGGAGCAAACAGG